GAAGAGGAUAACUUCAUCCCCUUUCAACUAACCCCUUUGAAAACUCCAGAAAAACAAGAGCUAAAUAUUGAAGAAAGGAUCCCAGUAUAUCUUCGCAAUCUUGGCAUCGACCAGUCCCCUGGAUCUAUACUGACUCCGUUUGUGCCCCAAGGACCCAUCAGGGAAGUGGAAUUUUCCCCUUCAGAGCUUCGAACACUGAAGGACUCCUGUGACUCGCUUAGGAGGACAGCUCAGCGGCUGCAAGAUGAAUUGCUGGCUGCAGUUG
Tinamus guttatus (white-throated tinamou) is the source of this 265-nucleotide non-coding RNA. Lineage: Eukaryota; Metazoa; Chordata; Aves; Tinamiformes; Tinamidae. The record is from RefSeq and is a predicted model, not a curated record.